RNAcentral lists this ribosomal RNA (350 nucleotides) under uncultured bacterium. RNAcentral's name for it is "bacterial SSU rRNA". It matches the Rfam family "Bacterial small subunit ribosomal RNA", at positions 126 to 507 of the family's 1533-position model. The record is from RNAcentral.
CUACCUUUUGGCGAGGGACAACCACUGGAAACGGUGGCUAAUGCCUCAUAUAACUGAGAAGUGAAAGAUGAAAAUCACCAAGAGAUGAGCUUGCGUCUGAUUAGCUAGUUGGUAAGGUAAAGGCUUACCAAGGCGACGAUCAGUAGCUGGUCUGAGAGGAUGAUCAGCCACACUGGGACUGAGACACUGCCCAGACUCCUACGGGAGGCAGCAGUGAGGAAUUUUCCGCAAUGGGCGAAAGCCUGACGGAGCAAUACCGCGUGAAGGAUUAAGGCCUAUGGGUUGUAAACUUCUUUUCUCAGAGAAGAAUUUUGACGGUAUCUGAGGAAUAAGCAUCGGCUAACUCUGUG